GGACCUAAUAGAUAAUUCACC
Molecule: ribosomal RNA, 21 nt
Filed under: Phytophthora sp. P32
Lineage: Eukaryota; Oomycota; Peronosporomycetes; Peronosporales; Peronosporaceae
Description: partial 28S ribosomal RNA
Source: RNAcentral